AUGUCGGACUCUGCUCCCCAGGAAGAGGCCGCACAGCUGUUGAAAUCUCUCAUUGCGACACGCAGUGGGAAAUUAGGAGUGUGUACACGAAAGAGGAACGAAAUCAAAGUUCUGUUUGAAACCGGAGAUGUUGAUAAAAUUGACAAACUUGCAAAGACGUUGUUGAGCUGCAUCGAUGAUUUUGAAUCUGUGCAUCAGUCAGUACAAAAUCUGCUUGGUGAGGAGGAGAAAGCAACGGAGAACGCUGAUUGGUAUGAACCGAGAAUAACGAACUUUAAUAACUUUUUUGAUGAGGUGGAAGCAUGGAAAAUUCAACAAUAUAAUCUUGAAACUAUUGUGGAUCCUAUGGAUAGUGUAUCUAACGUCACUGGAGCUACAUCUCGGCGUUCUAAGACCUCCACCUCCUCAGCUAAAAUAGCGGCAGCGGAGAAGGCUGCGCUUGAGGCGCGCGCCAAUGCUUUACCUGCAUUACAUGCGCUUAUGCUUGAAGAAACGGUUCUAAAAUCCAAAAAGGAACAGAUGGAAGUUCAAGUUAUGAUAGCAGCAGCUGAUGCAAGAAUUAAAGUGCUGAGUGACAGCGGUGAUGCAAUGAACGAAUAUUUAGAAGCAACUAGGCAUGAUUUUACUGAACCAACUCUCCCUGAUGCGUCGGCUAUUGAGUUCGCUCCUUUGGCUGCAGUACCCAAAACACCAUUGCAAAUGGCUGUUAGACACAUUCAUGGCGGGCCUAGCUUACAAGCUGCUGUACCUCCAGCCUCCUCCUCCAGCCCUCAAGUUCAGUCCAGUCAUGAUGUAGAUUUUCAGAUGCUACAAACACAGAAACAGCUCAUUGAUGUAAUGAUUAUGCAGCAAAAUAUCUCUCUGUUACCAAAAAGGGAGGUGCCAGUCUUUGAUGGCGAUCCGCUAUCUUUUCAGUCUUUCAUCCAUGCUUUUAAAUAUUUGAUAGAAGACAAGACGGAUAGCUGCCAGGAUAGACUUUAUUUUCUAGAACAGUUUACUGCAGGCCAAGCUAAAGACCUUGUGCGUAGCUGUAUGCAUAUGGAUUCUCGUAGAGGAUAUACAGAAGCAAGACAGCUCCUUAAGAAACAUUUUGGAGAUGAAAUUAAAAUUGCUAAUGCUUACCUGCAAAAGGCUCUGAACUGGAAGUCAAUUAAAACUGAUGAUGGAAAUGCUCUUCAUGCUUUUGCCUUGUAUUUAAGAGAAUGCUACAAUGCUAUGCAAGACCUAGAGUACAUGGAUGAGUUGAAUGUGGCCUCUAACUUGAAACUGCUGGUGUCUAAGUUCCCCUACAAGCUCCGUGAGCGAUGGAGAACUGUAGCCUAUGAAUCCAUAAAGAAAAACAUCCGCAUUCGAUUCAUACACCUGGUAGAGUUCUUAGAGACCCAGUUUAGCAUGUUGCUACAUCCUAUAUUUGGAGACAUUAAUGACCCUGCUCCAGCCAAGGUUGUAACACCAAGUGCAAGGAUGCCAAACACAAGAACCUUUGAAAGGACUUUUGUUACCACGGUAACACCAGCUGAAGAGCAGGUAGCACUACAGCCAGUUCAGACACAGAAAGCUAACCAUCAUGUUGUGGGUUUGUCUUCAUGUAGCUUCUGUGCAGACAAACAUGAAAUAACAGACUGUAAAAGGUUCAAUUCAAAACCACAUGAUCAGAAAGUUGACUACCUAAAGAAAAAUGGAUACUGCUUUGGAUGUCUAAAGAAAGGACACCUCAGUAAAAAUUGCAAUAAGAAAAUGCUCUGUCAAAUCUGUAAACGUAACCAUCCCACCUUGUUACACAUCAACAGUGACAAUGCAGGGAGAAUGCAGAUUAUGACCGGAUUAAACCACUCAGGCAGGCCUCCCCUCAACAGUGCCCUGGUCUCAGCUGAGAAGGCAACAGGGGCCAGCAAGGAGUGUGCGCUAGCCAUUGUGCCCGUUCAAGUGAAGGCAUCCAAGGGGUCAAAAACCAUCCAGACCUACGCCUUCCUGGAUCCAGGCAGUUCGGCCACCUUCUGUACGGAGAACAUCAUGCGCCAGCUGAACACCAAAUGUCGCCAGACUGAAGUGGUCUUGCGGACGAUGGGGCAGGAGCGUCUGGUAAAGAGCUAUGAGCUAACAGGACUGGAGGUAGGCAACAUGGAUGGUAGUGUUUACAUAGAGUUGCCUCAAGUUUACACUCAGCCAAAAAUUCCUGUGUCUAAAGAAAACCUACUUAGUCAACAUGACUUGAAAAGAUGGCCUUACCUAAAUGCAGUUACAUUGCAAAGGAUUGAUGCCAACAUUGAGAUUUUGAUUGGAAUGAAUGUGCCAAAAGCAAUGGAACCUUGGCGUGUGAUUAAUAGUCAAGGUAAUGGACCAUAUGCAGUCAAAACACUCUUAGGAUGGGUGGUCAGCGGCCCACUCAACACAUCUGCUAUGGAAAAGGAUGGCACACCUUCAGUCACAGUCAAUCGUGUCUCAAUGCAAGAACUGAAGGAUCUUCUCAUUCAUCAAUAUAACAAUGACUUUCCAGAAAAGGAUUAUGAGGAGAAAUUGGAGAUGUCUGUUGAGGACAAGAAAUUCAUGGACGUAACAACAAGGUCAGUCAUUCACAAAAACGGUCAUUAUCACCUACCUUUGCCAUUCCGUGAUGAUGUGUGCUUACCUGACAACAAAGAGGUCUCAGUACAACGUGCAAUGAGUCUCUCCAAACGAGACGACGCAGCCCGAGACGAGGCUGCGGGAGACAAGGCCGCGGGGGACGAGGCCGCGCAGAGACGGCGCCGCCAGAGCCAGAGACGGCGCCGCCAGAGCCAGAGACGGCGCCGCCGCAAGAGACGGCGACGCCGCCGCAAGAGACGGCGACGCCGCCGCAAGAGACGGCGACGUCGCCGCAAGAGACGGCGACGCCGCAAGAGACGGCGACGCCGCAAGAGACGGCGACGCAGGCUAUCAAAGGAUCCAUCAAGCUCUGCUGACCCACCAUGUCAAAUGGCUGUUCAACCCCCCUUCUGCACCACACUUUGGAGGCGUGUGGGAGCGACUGAUCAAGUUGGUGAAAAAGAGAUGACUUGUACGGAAGAAGGCGGUGGAGACAGGUGCAGUACCUAG
Molecule: long non-coding RNA, 3075 nt
Filed under: Gadus morhua (Atlantic cod)
Lineage: Eukaryota; Metazoa; Chordata; Actinopteri; Gadiformes; Gadidae
Description: lncRNA (ENSGMOG00000027410.1)
Source: RNAcentral